UUUUGGGAGAAAAAUCCUGGAAUGUCAGGGGGAUUUGGGGGCAAUUUUGGGGCAAAAUUCUGCAAUUUUGGGGAAAUUUUGGGACGUUUCGUUCUGUUUUCCUUCCCUUUCUCAUCAUUCCUAUAUAAUGUAACUUCCCUCCCCCCGCCCCAAUUUUUGGGGUCCCGAACCCCAAUUUUUGGGCCCCCAACCCCGAUUUUGGGGACCCCCCGAGUGAUUUCGGGGCUCCCCCUCCCCGAAUCCGCAGAGUGGCGCGAGGCCCAGGCCACGCACGAGGCCGAGCAGCGGCAGUGGCGCCUCAGGAACCACCUGCAGCUGGCAGCCAAAGGUCCUCUCCGCCAAACUUUCGCCCAAAACCCCCUGAGCCCCCCCAAAACGGCGCCCACAGAGCCCCAAAAAAGGCCCUGGAAGGACACGCUGGGCUGAGGGGGGGAGGGGGCGGCCCGAAAAAUAAAAAAACGCGCGAACGGA
Long non-coding RNA from Pyrgilauda ruficollis (rufous-necked snowfinch), 471 nucleotides. RefSeq lists it as uncharacterized. Lineage: Eukaryota; Metazoa; Chordata; Aves; Passeriformes; Passeridae. The transcript has 2 exons. The record is from RefSeq and is a predicted model, not a curated record.